RNAcentral lists this ribosomal RNA (157 nucleotides) under Plasmodium cynomolgi. Its description in RNAcentral is "partial 18S ribosomal RNA". Lineage: Eukaryota; Apicomplexa; Aconoidasida; Haemosporida; Plasmodiidae. The record is from RNAcentral.
GGAUUUGCUAAAUUGCGGUCGCAAAUAAUGAUGAUCUUGAUUGCUUUUCAAGUCAGUGUUUUCCAGAAUCGUUGAGCGUGACUAGUAUAUUCUCGCUCCUUCUGUUCCCUGGACUUCACUUCCCUGGCUUAUCAUACCGACCCAUUUUCAAAUCAAA